This is a long non-coding RNA of Tribolium castaneum (red flour beetle), 2136 nucleotides long. RefSeq lists it as uncharacterized. The transcript has 3 exons. The record is from RefSeq and is a predicted model, not a curated record. NCBI's taxonomy places the organism in Eukaryota, Metazoa, Arthropoda, Insecta, Coleoptera, Tenebrionidae.
AUGUAAAUAAUAAGCUUUAUACAGUCCGGGACAUUUCUAUUUGGACAUAAAAAAUUUGAAUUUUCUGACAUUUAUACGUAUAUUCAGCGUCUAUGUGAACAAAAAAUGUUCUCUCUCUCAUUCUAUGGUCCUUGAGCUUUAAUAACAGGGACAUUUUUUAAAUUGGUAGCAUUAGAAAAUGACAGUAAACAGCUGACUGAUGUAAACAAUAACACAAUAACAAAGGAAAUAGGAAGGAAAUGUUAUAAUUUUAAUCUAUAUAACCAGUGGCUGCUUUAAAAGCGUGUACUAACAGGAUAAUAAAAUAUUUAUAUUGUAUGAUGAGACGGGAAUGGCACAACACAGAAUUGCAGUCAGUGAUUGUGCUGGAGAAAGCUGCUGUGACGUACUGACAGUACUGACUGUCGCUAGUUGUAUGAUUUGCGUAAUUUGUGAUAUAUUUUGUGUGAAAAACUGGAAAACAAAGUGCAUAGCUGCAUAACCUCACUUAUCGCAGUUUUGCACAUUUUGAUGAUGGGAAUUGCGGUUCAAGUAAUUAUGAGUUAUAGAUGGAGCUCACUGUUUACUUCAAACUGAAGCCUUUUGGGUCCACUUUUUUCGUUGUUAUUUCCUGGUAGCGACUCUUGUUUCAAGCAGAAUGGGUGUAAAGUUAAAAAUAAUCCCAUAAAAUUGUUAAUAUAACUCCGUUGCACUGGCAUGGGGUAUUUGAAAACUUACGUUUAACAAAUACGUCACAAAGUCUCAGCCAUCGUCGAAAAACAUAAUAAGGGCUUUAUAACAACAAGCGCUUUCUGAUUUUACUGUGGACGUGUGGAAGAAUAGUGUGAAAUAUUGCGAAAAACCAACUUUUACUCUUGUUUACAUUUUUGUACGUCUCUAACUGAGAGUAGUCGUCUUUUAUAAAAAAUAUAGCUUACUAAUAAAGGAAAUUAAAGUGUUUUUAUUUCUGGGUUGCCUCCAAUUCCACUUUGCCCUUGCCUGAUAAUCAAGACACUGAUAAUGAAAUUGGUGUAAGUGCAUCGAAUAUAAACGUGUUGAAUAGAUGAAUAAAAGAGAGACAACUGCUUUUUUCAAAAAGGCCAUUUCAAAUUUAUUCAAAAAGCACACCCCCAUUGAAAAGGGUCCAUUCACGAUGAAGUUUGGCUUCCUGCAUGACAUAGGUUUCGGGCACCAAUCUCACUGUAAAUGGUCUAAAUUGGUCUUGCAUCUCUAAGACAUGGACUCACUGAGAGCGACUUCUGCAGUAGGCUUGAGACCUGCCUGACUGUCUCGCAACAAUCUCUGCAUUAUGAUUCCAAAUCAUUUUAUAAAAUGCUGUCAAUUACAAGCCAUGAUAUGAGGCAUGAGGCCGUCUCAGUGUAUGUCUUGUGGUGUACAUUAAAACUGUUUCUUAAAGAACACAAUGAGAUCUGCUUCGCUACAUGCGGCGCAAACAGGACUCAAAGACUAAUCCCAAAAGACACAAAAAAACUGACACAGUUUCAUAAUUUUAAGCCAUUGACAGCGUUUUCGAAUGUUGGUGCAAAGACUUGUCGCGACGCAGGUUUCAGCCUUCCGCCAACGUCAGUCUCAGUGAAACCCUCUCAAAAUGAUCUCAGCGAAAACCAUUCACAAUGAGAUUGGUCUAUGAGGCCUAUGUCGUGCCGCAUGCAGCGAGAUAUGUCUCAUUGUUAAUGAAAAUAGGGCCUUUUUUGUUGUUUAAAGUCGUUUUUUAAAACUUUUGUGGCAAAUUUUACUGAUGUGGCAGAGAGGGGGCAUGCAAUUGGAACAUGACGAUGACUACCCUAAAAGGCACUUCGAGGCUUUUAUGGCCUUUUUAAUGCAAAUUUCAACUUUAAACCUGACAGUCAUAUCAAGGUCAAACAUAACCUCAACAGUACUCCAGCAACGGUACUUCAAAGCGUUUGAAAGUUUCUCCAUUUGUUUUUAAGUGUUCUAGUUGGUACAUUUUGCUGUACUUUACUACAAUAAAGAAAUAUUUAAAUUUUUAUUAUUGUUUACAUUUGUCAUCUGUCAAACACAUCAAACAGCCAAGUUCCCUAAAUUUGAGCUCUUAUCUAGUUUUUGUGCUCUAUAUAGUCUCGCGUCAAGGUAUGCGGUAUGACGUAUCUCAUAUAGAAAUGUCCCGGACUAUAC